GCUGCCUUUCUGAAGACUGGAUCCAUUGAACUCAAGGGAAGUAAUCCCAGCUGACUUGGACGACUCUAAACCAGGUGACAGCAUGCUCACUGGACUAGUCAAAGGUAUUAUCCCUGUCUACUAAGUCAAUAGCUUUGGUUCUAAUAAUACUUCAAGCUUUGAUUUCUACCCUUCAGUGGAAAGAAGGUGGCUUAAAGUUGCUAUAGAUGGAAAGUAAAGAUAUUGUCUGAAUGUGCUUAAAGCAGAAAGGCAGGAGGCUCAUCCUCGUUCUGGGAGGAAACUGUGCAUUAAAUCCAUAGCUAGUUAUGAUAUUUUUGAAGUGCCAGCUGUCAGUACAGUGCCAACAGAGCAAUCUGCUCAGUGCUGGCAAGUUUUCUCCCCUCUGUGCCAGUUAUGAAUGCCAUUGACUAGCUAGAAAGGGAAGCCUGCCUACUCUUGUGUUGGAGGCCUGAGAGGUGUGAUGAGUGGAGUUGUGCAAUGAGUGAAAGAGGGGAUAACGAGAGAGGAAAUGGAGGAAUUCCUCAGGGUGCCAUCUGUGAUGUAGAUUACGAGAGAGGCACAGAGGAAGUAGAUUUCUUUUGUGGAUUAAUUUUGCCAAACUGCAAUCAGUGAGCUAACAAGCAUUCUGCUUUUUAGGAUCAUAAAGAGCAAUGCAACAGCUAACAUGUAUUAUCAGCAGUGUGCUUACAAAUAAGCACUGGAGAAAAAUAAUGAAAUGUAUACUUUAAGGUUUCUAGCUACCAACAUAAAGGGCAGAAGGGUGGGGAGGUGACUUGCAUCAGGCACAGCUUUCUUUGCUUUCUCAUCAGCUUUUCAGUGCUUGCUGAUGACUUCCUCAUGCUCAUUAAUAGUGUGCUGAAGGUCAGAUUCUAGCUUUCGUUUAAUAGCAAGCAGGCUAUUUCUAGAGGGCAGGAAGAAGUCCUGGAGACCCAGAAUAUGUUAACUGCUCAGCUCCCAAAGUGGUACCUGCUCGCACCCUCUCCAGUUUACCUUGAGAUGCUGUUGCAGUUUAUUCAGUGUUUUGACGAGCUCACUGUUAUUCCUGUUGGCACGAUCCACUUGGAUUUCCAUUUUGUUCUGGUCAGUUUCCAUCUCCUUGAGCCUAAGUGCUUCAGCAUGCCCUGUCACUUCAGUCUCCAGACUCACCUGCAGAGACGGGAUUGCAUGCUGGUGAUUUUCUGCGGAGUCCAGUGAAGCAUAUGGUGCAACAUUCUGUUAUGUUGAGUCUAAUCCAGCCUUAGUAUCACGUUAUUGCCCACCGACUAACAAAAACACAGGAGCUUUCCAAACCUGUUCAUAACUGUGGUACCAGAAUUUUGAACCAAGCCAUUUAUGAACGCAUUUUAAAUAGAAGAUCGUGACAGCUUUCAAAUGGCAGCUUUAACCUGAAGCAGUUCAAGCUGAAUGCAAAUCAGUUUACUUUAUUCAGCCUGUAAGGAAAUAUGCUACAGAAGGAUGAAUAAAUACCCUUUGUAGGGUUAUACA
RNAcentral lists this long non-coding RNA (1485 nucleotides) under Anser brachyrhynchus (Pink-footed goose). RNAcentral describes it as "lncRNA (ENSABRG00000001798.1)". The record is from RNAcentral. Lineage: Eukaryota; Metazoa; Chordata; Aves; Anseriformes; Anatidae.